Molecule: long non-coding RNA, 823 nt
Filed under: Columba livia (rock pigeon)
Lineage: Eukaryota; Metazoa; Chordata; Aves; Columbiformes; Columbidae
Description: partial uncharacterized LOC102084005, transcript variant X2
Source: RNAcentral
AGAAAAUCUUACAGAAAAGAAAAAGCCUUGGAAAUCUAUCCACAGCUGAUCACAUGGGAAGGGGAAUUGCUUUCUGCAAUGCCACCGAGUCAGCUGCCUGCAAGCAAAAGGGACAGGCAUGUGUUCCUCGUCCAGGUGUUGUUUGGUGUUGUUAUGACCCUGUGCACCCACAGUUGCUGGAAACAUGGCAGAGCCAUCUCUCAGUGAGAUCGCUCCACUGCCAGCCAGCUCUUCCGGGCUGUGCAGUCUGGCACGGGCAGACAAAGCCGACUGAGUCAGCUACAAAAACAAGGCGCCGCCCAUUAUUCUACAGGCUGGACUGGACUGCUGCUGGGGGAUCGCGAGCGCCAGACAAUAAAUGAAUCCUCUCCGGUUAAUCGUCACCCCUGCCAAUGGGACGGAGCUGGGGAGCCAGCAGGCAGAUCCUAGCAUGUCCAUUUUCUACCCACUUGCGCUCAGCAAGAGAUGGAGCCAGCUGUGCAAGCCAUGGCUGCCUCACUGGGAACCCAGCCUCGUUACCGGCCUCCCCACGUCUUGACCAGCUGGGCCUCAGAGGAAGUCACCACACGGGAUCGUCAUCUCCAUAAAGUGAACUGACACAAGAGCGUCCCAGCAUCUCGCUACCUUGCCCGCAGGUACGGUAAUUUGGGUAAUUAGGGCAGGCUCAGCACCACCCUGACGCAGAACAGAAACCUGCACAGAAAUUCAAAGGAACAAAGCUGUCAACUUCAGUGAGUUCCUCACCCAGAAGACCUCACUCGCAAUCACCCAUGGAAACCAGGUACUUGCACAGGCAGGCCGUCCCGAAAGCAUCCAGAUCCAC